This is a long non-coding RNA of Acomys russatus (golden spiny mouse), 410 nucleotides long. RefSeq lists it as uncharacterized. Lineage: Eukaryota; Metazoa; Chordata; Mammalia; Rodentia; Muridae. The record is from RefSeq and is a predicted model, not a curated record. The transcript is spliced from 3 exons.
GCAGUGACCUGUGGUGAUGUGCAUGUGAACUUCACUCAAGAAGAGUGGUCUUUGCUGGAUCCUUCCCAGAAGAGUCUCUAUAAAGACGUGAUGCUGGAGACCUAUAUGAACCUCAUUGCUAUAGGCUACAAUUGGGAAGACCAUAAUGUUGAAGAACACAUUCAAAGUUGCAGAAGAAAUGGAAGGCAUGAAAAAGACCAUACUGGAGAGAAGGCUUCUGGCUUUACACAAUUUGACAAAGAGUUUGCAUAUCACAGACUUCCUCCAAGGCAUGAAAGACUUCAUCCUGGAGAGAAACGUUAUGAAUAUAAUCAAUGUGGUAAAGCCUUUGCACAACACAGUCAUCUUCAAAGACAUGAAAGAAUUCAUACAGGAAAGAAACCUUAUGAAUGUAAUCAAUGUGGUAAAGC